GGGGGGGGUCUUCCAUUGGUCUCUUACCCAACACUUUUUCUUCAAGGAGUGGAGAAUGUUCAGAUAAGUUACCCUGAGAAGAGCAGAAACCCUCAGAGUUAUCUGACCCUAGGUCUACCUAUUCAGGAGGCAUAGAUGGGGGGUUUUGCUUUGGAACGGGUGCUUUUUCUAGUAGAGGCAGAUGGAUUUCUGGGGUGCUUAGCCAUUGGAAGGGAAAAGCUUGAACGGAGUUUUUAAAGAGAAGAUGAAGAUGAAUGUGAUUGAAAAGGGUUUUCUACUUUAAGAAGGGAGAUUUGGCGGUUGAGUACAGAAAAGGAAAAUUUGUUAGUUGAAGGGAUGUGAUGAUUGGCUUUCCAACUUUGAACGACGAACUGAU
RNAcentral lists this long non-coding RNA (376 nucleotides) under Nicotiana benthamiana. RNAcentral's name for it is "long non-coding RNA (NBEN_LNC039066)". The record is from RNAcentral. Lineage: Eukaryota; Viridiplantae; Streptophyta; Magnoliopsida; Solanales; Solanaceae.